AAGACAUCCUCUGAGUCAACAAAAACCAUGAAAUCCUGCUGUAAAUCAUUGGCUGAGGUUAUCAUUGCUGUGUUGUUACUCAUGUAUUUAGUUUGUAGUAAUACAGCUCUAGCAAGAGUUCAUCCACCAUCCUCUCAAGCUCUCCUACAUGCACACGCAGACAAGAAAAUGCCCGUCACCGUCGAGCCGGUAGUCGAUAGCCUCCGAAGAAUACCUCCCAGCAUUCCAAAUCCUACUCAGAACAAGUUGAAGCCUAGGAAGGGCUGAAACAUUACAGUUGCAUGAACAGCUCAAAGAUAUAGAUGUUGCUCUACAUGAAGAAAUUAAAUUAAUUUGUUGUUUAUUUUAGAAUCUCUUUUUUAGCUCUGUGAGAGUGUACUUUUUGUAGCUCUUAAUAAUUAUUGUUAUUAUUAUUUUUGCUAGGAUUAGCAGAAGUGAUUAAGAACAGUUAAAACCAAGUAAGAAGGCUUAUGAAAAUGUUUAGAUAUGACCCAAUUUUAUCAAAUUUUAGCAAGUAUAGAUUAUCUACUUUGAGUAACUCAAUGCUUUUGGCAACAAUAUUUUGAAUUAGCAAUUUAGCAUUAUGAAUGUACCCAUAUUUUUAUUUGCUGCAAAUACACAGAGAUAUACCAGUAAA
Molecule: non-coding RNA, 637 nt
Organism: Malus domestica (apple)
Lineage: Eukaryota; Viridiplantae; Streptophyta; Magnoliopsida; Rosales; Rosaceae
Source: RefSeq, a predicted model, not a curated record